This 236-nucleotide unclassified non-coding RNA is filed under the name Hevea brasiliensis (rubber tree). Lineage: Eukaryota; Viridiplantae; Streptophyta; Magnoliopsida; Malpighiales; Euphorbiaceae. The record is from RNAcentral.
GGGGGAGGCCAACAGUGGGAGCAUAGCCAUUGAACUUCUCAGAUUGAAGAGAAUCAAGGACGGCGUCUUGAGCGAUACGGGUAGUAUGAAAACAAGAAUAAGCAGAAGGGUCACCCAUGCCAAGGGAAAUCAGUCUUCUGCCAUUGUUCUCAUCGACGUUCUGAACAAGGAGACUGAGAAUGCCUUUGAUGGUGAUAGUUGAAGCUGUGUCCAUUUCAGGGUUCACAGCUUCAAUC